UUCCUUUACCGAGGGUGAGACCUCCCACUCCACCGCCUCCCCCAUCUUCACCGCUCAAAAGACCGUCUUCGUCUGCCUCCUCGUCAUCCACCAUGACAGCACUGCGGUUCCUUCAUCCUCUAGGGUGUCGAUCUCAAUCUUCCCAGUCGGUGGAGGAAGAGGUGGCGAUGUUUUGCGUCAGGUCGACAAGAUGUAUGGGUAAUACGAAAAAAUAAAGAAAUUUGAUUUUUUCUUGUUUAUUUUUUUUAAUUGUUUUUUCGGAGCCUUUCAACUUUUAAUUGGGUAAUUUAUUUUCUUCGAUAAUUGGGAAUGUUCGUACGAAACUUAGAAUUAUAUUCUUUCAUUCUGAGUAUAAUUAUUUUUCUUCAAUUCGAAUUUCUUGUGUCAGGUAAAUAUUUUAUGGGACUCCCUAAUAUUGUUUAUGUCGAUUUGAUCCAUGAAUGUUUGGUUUCGUCUCAAAACUCUAGUAUUUCUAUCACCAACAAGAUUGUAUCCUUUCAUGUCGAAUCUGAUGAUUUUUGGGCUAGUAAAGAUUGGUUUUUAAUGAAAAUUUUAUGCUAUUUUAUUUGUUAUGGGAGACGAGGAUCAUUAUGUAUUGUAUGUAGUUAAAUGGGGUUGUCGUUAUCUUUUCUCCAUGAAUAUGUGCUUUGUUUAUUUCGUAUGAUGAUGAAAAAUAAGUAUGUUAUGUUUUCUGAAAAAAAAUAAUUAAUUCAAUAGUGGUUUUCAAGCAUUAAAUCUUAAUAGUGAUGUAUGAUCUAAUUUCAAUUUUAAAUUUCGAUAUAUAGUUUGGUAUAUGCGAGUCCUUUAAAAUUCACUAAUAUUUAUAAUGAAUUUCGAUAAGUAUGCAAAGUGGUUUUCGUGUUUAUAUAGUUAUUUAUAUAGAGUGGUUUUCAUGUUUAUAUAGUUGUUUAUACAGAGUGAUUUUCAUGUUUAUAUAGUUGUUUAUACAGAGUGGUUUUCAUGUUUAUAUAGUUGUUUAUACAGAGUGGUUUUCAUGUUUAUAUAGCAGUUUAUAUAUAAUGGUUUUCAUGUUUAUAUAGUUGUUUACACAGAGUGGUUUUCAUUGUUGUUCCCUCAUUCAUUUUCGUUUCAACAGAUUUAUGCAAUAUUAGUAGGUUGGAAAGAUUUUUUUACGAAAGCUUCCCGGAUUUCUGUUCCCACCAACGAUGGUGUGACACCAAGGUUUGCUUUUGGAAAUCGGUUUUCAUUUGCUAAUUAUUUUUUUUCUUGUCCAGAUUGAUUUAGUGAUCCUCGUCAGCCUUGUUGGUGGUGGUGUACUGGUUCUGCACUUUUUCGUAAAGAUUAGAUUUUCGAAUAUUGAAUUUAUAUUUUUUAAUUUUUUUGUUAUUUUGUAGUUGUGUUAGUAGUGAAUUACGUAUGUUUUUAGUGGAUUUCGAUAAGUUUGUUGUGGGUUAUAUUAAUAUUAAAGUGGAUUACGUUA
Molecule: long non-coding RNA, 1441 nt
Filed under: Erythranthe guttata (spotted monkey flower)
Lineage: Eukaryota; Viridiplantae; Streptophyta; Magnoliopsida; Lamiales; Phrymaceae
Description: long non-coding RNA (EGUT_LNC003696)
Source: RNAcentral